UUGACCUUGAAGUGGUGUGAAUGGGCCUUGCUUUGUGCUAGGCUCAGGAAAGUCCCCGGGCCCAAUCUGCAGAAAUGCAGGCCUGGAAACGGGAUUAUCUUUGAGUUAGGACUGGAAACGGGAUUAUUCACACGGUCUUUUUAUGAGACUAACAGAACGGGGCUUAUGCUUCAAGGUUCA
Molecule: signal recognition particle RNA, 180 nt
Filed under: Trifolium pratense (red clover)
Lineage: Eukaryota; Viridiplantae; Streptophyta; Magnoliopsida; Fabales; Fabaceae
Description: SRP RNA RNase_MRP
Rfam family: RNase MRP
About the family: RNase MRP is an enzymatically active ribonucleoprotein with two distinct roles in eukaryotes. In mitochondria it plays a direct role in the initiation of mitochondrial DNA replication. In the nucleus it is involved in precursor rRNA processing, where it cleaves the internal transcribed spacer 1 between 18S and 5.8S rRNAs.
Source: RNAcentral